GAAAGCUUUUCGGAUAGCGCCUGAUGUUUUGCGACUUGUGAAUCGGAGGGAUUCGAUUGUUAGGCAUGCUGAAGCAGUCGUGUCUCAGAGGUUGACUGGUGAUGCUUAUAAGGGUUUCAAACAUCCGAACCAAACCACUCCUGGUUUGUUUGGAAAACCGAAGGUUCGUCGUAGACCCUUCCAGUGUGUCAGCGUUGGUUUUGUUGGUUCACUGCCCAGGUCUCGACGGAAAGUGUUUGAAGUGGAUAGGCAAUUGAGGAAAUCUCACUUGCGAGAUGAUUGUUGUGAUAGGCGUCUGAGAGACGUAGUGUUUAAAGAGGAUGAUGUGGUUUGGCGGAGCACGCACGUUCGUAGCGUAACUCCGAGAUUUAAAAAAAAAUGUAGGGUAGAUUGAAGUUUUGUUGAGGUGUUAGUUUUUUUUGUUGUGUAUUGUGAUGGUUUUGUUUCUGUAAGAUAGGAUGAUGCUGGAGGGCCAGCGUGAAUUUUUCUCGUUAUACUCGUAAAAUUCUGGUGGGUGAGGGGGUACUGUAACACUUUUUUUUUUGGCAAGAUUGAAUACUUACCGAUUUCCACAAACAAACAUUCCAACGGACCGUAAGGUCACAUAUUACAAAGUGCGCAGUAUUUCCUUUGUCACUUGAUUGUGUCAUUGUUAGUGAUUCACUGAGUUUUGAUUAACUUCUAUUAAAAUUAAUUACAUUGUUUUGGUACACAGAGCAAUAAAUAACCUCACUUUUUGAAUGUCUCCGUUUGACAGAUCAAUGCGUUACGUUCCAUUCUUUUAGUAUAGAAGAAAUGUAUAAUGAAAUUAAAUAUUCAACACUAAAUUUUUAUAAAACUUAAUAUUUAGGCUCUUUAAUUUAAAUUCUAGCUAUUUCUAGUAUUUUCCUCAAUGUUUAUAUUAAAAUAACAUUGUAAUGUAUCUUGAUCGAUCAUGGGUUCGGAACGUUCUAGAAAUUUGACAUAUUCUGAGCGAAACGAAACGCGCGGGAGACGGUCCGAAUACUAUGAGUGACGUUUCUUCUGUUUCUAAAAGUUAAAUAAAUUAAUUAAAUUUAAAUCGGAGGAGCAGUUUUGUGAGUUCUCAUAUCAAAAUUAUUCAAUAAGAGGCUGGUUGACUCAAAUAGAACUUAUUAGAAAAAGAAAUAAAAAAUAAAAACGAAGAAACAUUUUUAUGGUUUGUUAUUGUUGGGUUCGAUUCGGACCACAAGUCACGGGUGAUGACCGGCGCUUUUUGGAGUAGCUUUCUCUCUUUGCUCUGCUGGCCGCGGUCGUGAACAGAAGUUUUGUAGUGUGUGGUGUUGUGGCCUUCUGAGUCGGCCCUAAAUGUGCCAUUCCCAACUCAAACGGGCAGGGCACGCAGAUUAUUGUUGUUGAAAUAAAGGAAUUCCGGUUGGACACCGAAAUCCCGCUGUUCGCCGAUUUUGUGGACUCACUGCCACGUGCUGAGUUUUAUUACUGUUGAAGAUUGUGUGUGGUUGGGCAGUGCUCGGUGGCGAGCCUCUGCGCUGUCUGCUGUUGCUGUCUAUUGUUGCUGUCUGUUGUUGCUGACGUUGCCUCCAUAGCAGGUGACGAUGGUGCCUGAGAGUCGUUCCCCGACCAUGACUGGCCGAUAUGUACACUACCGAGGCCGUCCACCGCGGUCCUGGGCUACCCUACUUCAUAAGGUUGGUUCCGUUUUCUAUUGAGCUUGUCAAUUAUUUUAGUUUACUUUGAAAAAGUAGAUUACCCACAAUGAUUACAUUUUACCAAAAAGUAAAUUCUUAAAUAAAUUUACCAUUGUGAAGUAUUAUCAAUGGAUUUUGUUGUGUUAACUAUUUUUAGUUCGCUUUGUGAAGGUCGAUGAUGUAAUAAUUACAAAGAUUACAUUUUACCAAAAUGUUAGUUCCUAAAUAAAUUUACCAUUGUGAAGUAUUAUCAAUGGAUUUUGUUGUGUUAACUAUUUUUAGUUCGCUUUGUGAAGGUCGAUGAUGUAAUAAUUACAAAGAUUACAUUUUACCAAAAUGUUAGUUCCUAAAUAAAUUUACCAUUGUGACGUAUUAUCGAUGGAUUUUGUCGUGUAAACUAUUUUUUGUUCGCUUUGUGAAGGUGGACGACGUAAUAAUUAUGAUGAUUACAUUUUACCAGAUGUUACCUUCUAAAUCGAUUUACCAGUGUAAUGAAUUACCGUUGGAUUUUGCUGGAUUCACAUUUGCUCCACCCUUGAGAGCGAUGGAUUGUUUUUUUGUGUCGUAGUAAUUUAACUGAGCGAACACAAGUAAAUUAAUUUCUUUGUAUUAAUAUGCCUAUUAUUACCUGUUUAAGCUGUAGGGUAUUAAUGCACCAGUGGUGCACUUACUGUAUCGAUAUUUUUAUAAUAAUAUAUUUUUUUUGUA
Molecule: long non-coding RNA, 2375 nt
Organism: Ostrinia nubilalis (European corn borer)
Lineage: Eukaryota; Metazoa; Arthropoda; Insecta; Lepidoptera; Crambidae
Exons: 3
Source: RefSeq, a predicted model, not a curated record